This 209-nucleotide ribosomal RNA is filed under the name uncultured bacterium. RNAcentral describes it as "partial 16S ribosomal RNA". It matches the Rfam family "Bacterial small subunit ribosomal RNA", at positions 1292 to 1500 of the family's 1533-position model. The record is from RNAcentral.
UUCAGAUUGCAGGCUGCAACUCGCCUGCAUGAAGUCGGAAUUGCUAGUAAUCGUGGAUCAGCAUGCCACGGUGAAUACGUUCCCGGGCCUUGUACACACCGCCCGUCACACCAUGGGAGUCGGUAACACCCGAAGCCUGUAGUCUAACCGCAAGGAGGACGCAGUCGAAGGUGGGAUUGAUGACUGGGGUGAAGUCGUAACAAGGUACC